CAGCAGCCGCCGCGGGAACACGUAGGUGGCAAGCGUUGUCCGGAAUUAUUGGGCGUAAAGGGCUCGCAGGCGGUUUCUUAAGUCUGAUGUGAGAGCCCCCGGCUCAACCGGGGAGGGUCAUUGGAAACUGGGAAACUUGAGUGCAGAAGAGGAGAGUGGAAUUCCACGUGUAGCGGUGAAAUGCGUAGAGAUGUGGAGGAACACCAGUGGCGAAGGCGACUCUCUGGUCUGUAACUGACGCUGAGGAGCGAAAGCGUGGGGAGCGAACAGGAUUAGAUACCCCUGUAGUCCCUGUCUCUUAUAC
RNAcentral lists this ribosomal RNA (304 nucleotides) under uncultured bacterium. Its description in RNAcentral is "partial 16S ribosomal RNA". It matches the Rfam family "Bacterial small subunit ribosomal RNA", at positions 506 to 807 of the family's 1533-position model. The record is from RNAcentral.